This 120-nucleotide transfer RNA is filed under the name Fusarium redolens. RNAcentral describes it as "tRNA-Gly". Lineage: Eukaryota; Fungi; Ascomycota; Sordariomycetes; Hypocreales; Nectriaceae. The record is from RNAcentral.
AGCAAUUUGGCGCAGUGGAAGCGCGGUAUGUUUACCAUUAUCUGCAUCAUAAAACCAAUACUAACAGACUCAGCCGGGCUCAUAACCCGGAGGUCGCACGAUCGAAACGUGCAAUUGCUA